UGAACGCUGGCGGCAGGCCUAACACAUGCAAGUCGAGCGGAUGAAGGGAGCUUGCUCCUGGAUUCAGCGGCGGACGGGUGAGUAAUGCCUAGGAAUCUGCCUGGUAGUGGGGGAUAACGUCCGGAAACGGGCGCUAAUACCGCAUACGUCCUGAGGGAGAAAGUGGGGGAUCUUCGGACCUCACGCUAUCAGAUGAGCCUAGGUCGGAUUAGCUAGUUGGUGGGGUAAAGGCCUACCAAGGCGACGAUCCGUAACUGGUCUGAGAGGAUGAUCAGUCACACUGGAACUGAGACACGGUCCAGACUCCUACGGGAGGCAGCAGUGGGGAAUAUUGGACAACGGGCGAAAGCCUGAUCCAGCCAUGCCGCGUGUGUGAAGAAGGUCUUCGGAUUGUAAAGCACUUUAAGUUGGGAGGAAGGGCAGUAAGUUAAUACCUUGCUGUUUUGACGUUACCAACAGAAUAAGCACCGGCUAACUUCGUG
This 482-nucleotide ribosomal RNA is filed under the name uncultured bacterium. RNAcentral describes it as "partial 16S ribosomal RNA". It matches the Rfam family "Bacterial small subunit ribosomal RNA", at positions 30 to 507 of the family's 1533-position model. The record is from RNAcentral.